GUACCCUGAUCAAUGGACAGUACAGCUAGGACCAGAGUGAUAGGAGGUGUGUGUUAGUACCCUGAUCAAUAGACAGUACAGCUAGGACCAGAGUGACAGGAGGUGUGUGUUAGUACCCUGAUCAAUAGACAGUACAGCUAGGACCAGAGUGAUAGGUGUGUUAGUACCCUGAUCAAUAGACAGUACAGCUAGGACCAGAGUGAUAGGUGUGUUAGUACCCUGAUCAAUAGACAGUACAGCUAGGACCAGAGUGACAGGAGGUGUGUGUUAGUACCCUGAUCAAUAGACAGUACAGCUAGGACCAGAGUGACAGGAGGUGUGUGUUAGUACCCUGAUCAAUGGACAGUACAGCUAGGACCAGAGUGACAGGAGGUGUGUGUUAGUACCCUGAUCAAUAGACAGUACAGCUAGGACCAGAGUGACAGGAGGUGUGUGUUAGUACCCUGAUCAAUAGACAGUACAGCUAGGACCAGAGUGAUAGGUGUGUUAGUACCCUGAUCAAUAGACAGUACAGCUAGGACCAGAGUGAUAGGAGGUGUGUGUUAGUACCCUGAUCAAUAGACAGUACAGCUAGGACCAGAGUGACAGGAGGUGUGUGUUAGUACCCUGAUCAAUAGACAGUACAGCUAGGACCAGAGUGACAGGAGGUGUGUGUUAGUACCCUGAUCAAUGGACAGUACAGCUAGGACCAGAGUGAUAGGAGGUGUGUGUUAGUACCCUGAUCAAUAGACAGUACAGCUAGGACCAGAGUGACAGGAGGUGUGUGUUAGUACCCUGAUCAAUAGACAGUACAGCUAGGACCAGAGUGAUAGGUGUGUUAGUACCCUGAUCAAUAGACAGUACAGCUAGGACCAGAGUGAUAGGUGUGUUAGUACCCUGAUCAAUAGACAGUACAGCUAGGACCAGAGUGACAGGAGGUGUGUGUUAGUACCCUGAUCAAUAGACAGUACAGCUAGGACCAGAGUGACAGGAGGUGUGUGUUAGUACCCUGAUCAAUGGACAGUACAGCUAGGACCAGAGUGACAGGAGGUGUGUGUUAGUACCCUGAUCAAUAGACAGUACAGCUAGGACCAGAGUGACAGGAGGUGUGUGUUAGUACCCUGAUCAAUAGACAGUACAGCUAGGACCAGAGUGAUAGGAGGUGUGUGUUAGUACCCUGAUCAAUAGACCGUACAGCUAGGACCAGAGUGAUAGGAGGUGUGUGUUAGUACCCUGAUCAAUAGACAGUACAGCUAGGACCAGAGUGACAGGAGGUGUGUGUUAGUACCCUGAUCAAUAGACAGUACAGCUAGGACCAGAGUGACAGGAGGUGUGUGUUAGUACCCUGAUCAAUAGACAGUACAGCUAGGACCAGAGUGACAGGAGGUGUGUGUUAGUACCCUGAUCAAUAGACAGUACAGCUAGGACCAGAGUGAUAGGUGUGUUAGUACCCUGAUCAAUAGACAGUACAGCUAGGACCAGAGUGAUAGGAGGUGUGUGUUAGUACCCUGAUCAAUAGACAGUACAGCUAGGACCAGAGUGACAGGAGGUGUGUGUUAGUACCCUGAUCAAUAGACAGUACAGCUAGGACCAGAGUGACAGGAGGUGUGUGUUAGUACCCUGAUCAAUAGACAGUACAGCUAGGACCAGAGUGACAGGAGGUGUGUGUUAGUACCCUGAUCAAUAGACAGUACAGCUAGGACCAGAGUGACAGGAGGUGUGUGUUAGUACCCUGAUCAAUAGACAGUACAGCUAGGACCAGAGUGACAGGAGGUGUGUGUUAGUACCCUGAUCAAUAGACAGUACAGCUAGGACCAGAGUGACAGGAGGUGUGUGUUAGUACCCUGAUCAAUGGACAGUACAGCUAGGACCAGAG
This is a long non-coding RNA of Oncorhynchus keta (chum salmon), 1855 nucleotides long. RefSeq lists it as uncharacterized. The transcript has 4 exons. The record is from RefSeq and is a predicted model, not a curated record. Lineage: Eukaryota; Metazoa; Chordata; Actinopteri; Salmoniformes; Salmonidae.